UGAUUAAGGGAAACUGUAAAGCGCUUUUUUUUAAGAAUAAGUAUUUUGAACUAAUAAUUCAAAUUAUUGAAUUUAUUAAAAGAAUAAGUACCGGCUAAUCACGUGCCAGCAGCCGCGGUAACACGUGGGGUGCAAGCGUUAAUCAGAAUUAUUGGGCGUAAAGUGUGAUAAGGCUGUUUAAAAAGAUUUAUAUUAAAUAUCUGAUUUAAAAUCAGAAAAUAUAUAAAUUACUAUUAAACUAGAGUUCAGUAUAGGAAAAUAGAAUUUUAUGUGUAGCAGUGAAAUGCGCUGAUAUAUAAAGGAAUGCCAAAUGCGAAAGCAUUUUUCUUGGCUGCAACUGACGCUUAAUUACGAAAGCGUGGGUAGCAAACAGGAUUAGAUACCCUGGUAGUCCACGCCCUAAACGAUGUCAAUUAACUGUUAGUUUUUUAUUUACUAGUGGUGUAGCUAACGCGAUAAAUUGACCGCCUGGGGACUACGAUCGCAAGAUUAAAACUCAAAGGAAUUGACGGGGACCAGCACAAGCGGUGGAUGAUGUGGAUUAAUUCGACAAUACGCGAAAAACCUUACCUACUCUUGACAUGGUUAGAAUUCUACUGAAAAGUAGAAGUGCUUGAAAAAGAACUAACACACAGGUGCUGCAUGGCUGUCGUCAGCUCGUGUCGUGAGAUGUUGGGUUAAGUCCCGUAACGAGCGUAACCCCCACUCUUAGUUGCUAAUUAUAGAACUUUAAGAGAACUGCUAAUGAUAAGUUUAGAGGAAGGAGGGGAUGACUUCAAGUCCUCAUGGCCUUUAUGGGUAGGGCUUCACACGUCAUACAAUGGUUAAUACAAAAAGUUGCAAUAUCGCGAGAUGGAGCUAAUCUUUAAAAUUAAUCUUAGUUCGGAUUGUACUCUGCAACUCGAGUGCAUGAAGCAGGAAUCGCUAGUAAUCGCGGAUCAGCGUGUCGCGGUGAAUACGUUAACUGGUCUUGUACACACCGCCCGUCACACCAUGGGAAUAGGCUUCAUUUUAAACAAAACCAUUUAAAGGUUUUAUCACAAUGAGGU
RNAcentral lists this ribosomal RNA (1049 nucleotides) under Candidatus Nasuia symbiont of Arthaldeus pascuellus. Its description in RNAcentral is "bacterial SSU rRNA". It matches the Rfam family "Bacterial small subunit ribosomal RNA", at positions 406 to 1468 of the family's 1533-position model. Lineage: Bacteria; Pseudomonadati; Pseudomonadota; Betaproteobacteria. The record is from RNAcentral.